RNAcentral lists this long non-coding RNA (2780 nucleotides) under Sus scrofa (pig). RNAcentral describes it as "lncRNA (ENSSSCG00030055523.1)". Lineage: Eukaryota; Metazoa; Chordata; Mammalia; Artiodactyla; Suidae. The record is from RNAcentral.
AGAUUGAUUUUUUUUGGCCACACUUGCAGCAUGUGGAAGUUCCCAGGUCAGGGGUCAAACCCCAGGCCACAGCAGCAACCAGAGCCACUGCAGUGACAAUGCUGGAUUCUUAUCCCACUGUGCCACAAGGAACACCUUCUUUUAGACUGACUUUUUAAAUAGGUCAUUAUUUUUAUUUAGACUGAUUUUUUAAAAAAACAACUCCUCUUUAUCUCCACCAUUGGCUUAUUAGCUAUGCCACUUUUUUUUUUCAUUUUUAUAAUAGGGUUUAAAUUUUUAUUUUAUUUAAUUUAUUUAUUUUUUGGAUGUGCCCACAUCAUGCAGAAGUUCCCGGGCUAGGAACUGAACCUGAGCCGCAGCAAUAACUUGAGCCACAGCAGUGACAACUCUGAGUCCUCAACCACUAGGCCACCAGGGAACUUUUACAUUUUAAUUUAACAUUUUAUAGUUUACUUUCAAAUAAUAUUAUAUAUACUUAAAGAUAUUAUAACAAUAUACUUCUACCUCAUCCCUUUCAUUCUUUGUGCUAUUGUUGUCAGAUAUUUUCAUGGGUUUUAAACCUCACAUACACUGAUAUUAUAUUUGUCUUUUAAACAGUCAAUUAUAUUGUAAGGAAAUUGUGAAAAUCUUUGUUCUAUAUAUACUCAUGUAUUUACUAUUUAACUAACCAUACUUAACCUUUAUCAUAUAUUGACCCACAUAGCUACCAUUUCCAAUGGUCUUCAUUCCUUUUAGUAGAUCUGAAUUUCUGUCUGGUAUCAUUUUCCUUCUUUUUUAAAAUUUAUUUUUAUUAAAAAUUUGUUUUCUCCUUCUUGAAUAACUUGCAUUUUUUAUGGCCACACCUGCAAUAUAUGGAGGUUCCCAGGCUAGGGGUCAAAUUGGAGCUGCAGCUGCUGGCCUAUGCCACAGCCACAGCAAUGACAGAUCUGAGUCAUGUCUGUAACCUACACCACAGCUCAUGGCAAUGCUGGAUCCUUAGCCCAUUGAUCUUGGGUAAUUCAUAGAUCACAAAUUAGCUACAAACUCCAGAAGUCCCGUGUAUAGAUAUCUGUAUCUCUAUAUCUCAGUCUCAGUCCCUGUCUCUUUUCUUUUUAAUAUUUUUCCCUGCAAUAUCUAGCUACCCCUCUGAAUCCAAACUCUGAUUUAUCAACUCAGUGAGACCACUAGUCUGUUUGGUUUUCUACCACCUUCUUGUGCUACAGCGUAGAAACUUUUUACACACAAUAAGCAGUAGCAAUAAAAGGGCUAAUGAUAUUUAUUUCCCUUUUCUCAAGGAUCAUUAUCCUUGAUAAGGGAAGGGUAAGGAUCAUUAUCCAUUAUGCUUCCUAUUACCCAAUGUCUGAAAGUUAUUGUUUCAUAUGUCUUUUUUUGUUUUUUAGUUGUUUAAAGUGGGAGGAUAAAUCAAGUCAUUCAUCAUGUCUGGAAGUGGAAGUUCUCUCACCAUUAAUGAUCUAAAUUAGAAGUUGGCAAACUUCAACCAAUGGGCCAAUCCAGUUCACUGCCUGUUUUCUUAAAUAAAGUUUUAUUGGAACACAAAAUAUGACACUUUUAUGUUAUAAUUAGAGAGUUAAUUAGCUGUGACAAAAAUGAGCCUUGUCAGUGACUUCUAAAUUUAUUAUCUAAAUGUAUAUUUCUAUUUAUUCACUUUUUUCCACAAAUUACUUAUUUACCAUGACUGUUAAUCCUAAGACUUUAAUGCUGUAAUUAGAAUCCUGACUACCUCUGUGUUUAAAAAUAUGCCAAAAUAGUUCAUUAGUAAGAAAGGUAUUUUAUUUUAUUUUUUAAUUGGAAGGUAUUUUAAAUUCAACCAAAGGAUGGCAGCAUAAGAUCAAUUACUUAGAGCCUGGUAUCAACAUUCCCUGUUGGUGAGAGAAAUCAAAAUUUCAUGGCAUCUAGUAAUCUAAUAAUAUUGGUCAACAACACAUUAUUACUCUGACCAGCUGGAUUUUUUGUAUAAUGCAUAAGCUUACUAAUCACUCUAAACUCAUUAAGAUACUUUCUGGUUAGUGCUGUUAAAUAUUUCUCUUUUGUGCCUCAACUACUCUAAUGGACAUUUGCUGUUUUCUGGCUAUUCACUGACAUGACCCCUGUCUUUUCUGGGGGCUAUGAGUAAAUAUAUUCUGGCCUCUCUGGCUACUCUUGGAUAUCUUGUGUUUCUGGCCAGACUCCUCAGUGUGAUAUAUCUGGCCUUAAUCCAAACUACUCAGUGCCUCAUUCUGCCCUGGCCUCAGUGAUUAUUUCAGGCAUAGUCAUGUGCCCCAGUGUUCUCAACAAACCUCAUUUUCUGAGCAUAAACUUGCAAAUUAAAUUAACCAUAUUAAUUUAUCUAUCAUGGAAUGCUGGAGUUAGAAGUGAGCUUAAAUAGUAUCUAGUUUCUGCUUCCCUUUCCCUUUCUGAAAAAAUCAAUUCUAAAGCCAAUACAUGGGCAGAACAAGUAAAUACUGCCUGGAAGGGGCAGGGACCCAUAGAGGUGCAGUGUGGAAUGCUAGAGUUCGAAAAGGAUGAGGCAGAUGUUCAUAGGAAGAGAUAACCUGGCACGAGAUUUUGGAGCCUGAGAAGAAUAAGCAGAGUAUCGGUGGUGGGUAGAGUGGGCAGUUGCUGUGAAGAGUUCUAGCCUGAGAGAGGUUAGGAGGGCAAGGUUUCCUAUGGACAGAGAUUCAAAGCACUGAACUGCAAAACAUUUGAAAUUGUAUUUAUUUAUUUACUUACUUACUUAUUUGCUUUUUAGAGCUGUACCUGCUACAUAUGGAAGUUCUCAGGCUAGGGGUCGAAUCAGAGCU